GCAUCCGUAGUCUAAUUGGAUAAAAUAGUGCCCUCCGACGGCAUUGUUUCGGGUUCGAGUCCCGACGGGUGCGCCA
Molecule: transfer RNA, 76 nt
Filed under: Clostridia bacterium
Lineage: Bacteria; Bacillati; Bacillota; Clostridia
Description: tRNA-Arg
Rfam family: tRNA
About the family: Transfer RNA (tRNA) molecules are approximately 80 nucleotides in length. Their secondary structure includes four short double-helical elements and three loops (D, anti-codon, and T loops).
Source: RNAcentral